This 404-nucleotide ribosomal RNA is filed under the name uncultured Actinomycetes bacterium. Its description in RNAcentral is "bacterial SSU rRNA". It matches the Rfam family "Bacterial small subunit ribosomal RNA", at positions 9 to 416 of the family's 1533-position model. Lineage: Bacteria; Bacillati; Actinomycetota; Actinomycetes. The record is from RNAcentral.
GAGUUUGAUCGUGGCUCAGAGCGAACGCUGGCGGCAGGCUUAACACAUGCAAGUCGAACGGAAAGGCCCUUCGGGGUGCUCGAGUGGCGAACGGGUGAGUAACACGUGGGUGAUCUGCCCUGCACUUUGGGAUAAGCCUGGGAAACUGGGUCUAAUACCGAAUACACCUCAUGGGCUGCAUGGUUUGUGGGGGAAAGCUUUUGCGGUGUGGGAUGGGCCCGCGGCCUAUCAGCUUGUUGGUGGGGUGAUGGCCUACCAAGGCGACGACGGGUAGCCGGCCUGAGAGGGUGACCGGCCACACUGGGACUGAGAUACAGCCCAGACUCCUACGGGAGGCAGCAGUGGGGAAUAUUGCACAAUGGGCGCAAGCCUGAUGCAGCGACGCCGCGUGAGGGAUGACGGCC